Molecule: transfer RNA, 77 nt
Filed under: Xanthomonas phage XbC2
Lineage: Duplodnaviria; Heunggongvirae; Uroviricota; Caudoviricetes
Description: tRNA-Lys
Rfam family: tRNA
About the family: Transfer RNA (tRNA) molecules are approximately 80 nucleotides in length.
Source: RNAcentral
GGGCUGUUAACUCAAUCGGUUAGAGUAGCACUCUCUUAAAGUGAAGGUUCAGGGUUCGAUUCCCUGACAGCCCACCA